This 275-nucleotide ribosomal RNA is filed under the name uncultured soil bacterium. Its description in RNAcentral is "partial 16S ribosomal RNA". It matches the Rfam family "Bacterial small subunit ribosomal RNA", at positions 26 to 329 of the family's 1533-position model. The record is from RNAcentral.
AGAACGAACGCUGGCGGCAUGCCUAACACAUGCAAGUCGAACGAGACCUUCGGGUCUAGUGGCGCACGGGUGCGUAACGCGUGGGAAUCUGCCCUUGGGUUCGGAAUAACAGCGAGAAAUUGCUGCUAAUACCGGAUGAUGACGUAAGUCCAAAGAUUUAUCGCCCAAGGAUGAGCCCGCGUAGGAUUAGCUUGUUGGUGAGGUGAGAGCUCACCAAGGCGACGAUCCUUAGCUGGUCUGAGAGGAUGAUCAGCCACACUGGGACUGAGACACGG